This 467-nucleotide ribosomal RNA is filed under the name uncultured bacterium. Its description in RNAcentral is "partial 16S ribosomal RNA". It matches the Rfam family "Bacterial small subunit ribosomal RNA", at positions 29 to 507 of the family's 1533-position model. The record is from RNAcentral.
ACGCACGCUGGCGGCGUGCUUAACACAUGCAAGUCGAACGGAAAGGCCCUGCUUUUGUGGGGUGCUCGAGUGGCGAACGGGUGAGUAACACGUGAGUAACCUGCCCUUGACUUUGGGAUAACUUCAGGAAACUGGGGCUAAUACCGGAUAGGAGCUCCUGCUGCAUGGUGGGGGUUGGAAAGUUUCGGCGGUUGGGGAUGGACUCGCGGCUUAUCAGCUUGUUGGUGGGGUAGUGGCUUACCAAGGCUUUGACGGGUAGCCGGCCUGAGAGGGUGACCGGCCACAUUGGGACUGAGAUACGGCCCAGACUCCUACGGGAGGCAGCAGUGGGGAAUAUUGCACAAUGGGCGGAAGCCUGAUCCAGCAACGCCGCGUGCGGGAUGACGGCCUUCGGGUUGUAAACCGCUUUCGCCUGUGACGAAGCGUGAGUGACGGUAAUGGGUAAAGAAGCACCGGCUAACUACGUG